CGAGGGGCAGCAGACCGUCAUGUAAACACAUAGAAAGACAGCGACACCUGCGGUUGGUCAUACGCAGGCUACCUGCGCACCUCUUCACCUCCCUGGUACGAAACCCUGUCCGAUCAUGACGUCUUCAAGCAAAGCAAAUGGCCCACUGCUUGUGCCGCCAUCGAAUUUCGCCAUGGUGGAGGAUGACGUCUACCGCAGCGCCUACCCAACCGAGGAAAAUGUGCUUUACCUGCGCCACAUCGGCGUCACGCAUCUUGUGCUUCUCUCUAUUGAGCAGCUGCCGGGCCCGGUGAAGCGGUUGCUCGGAUCGGAGGUUACUGGGAAGACCGCCAGCAACUGCCUCACGCGUGGCCCCAUUCGCAUUAUUAAUAUUGUGGACAUGCGCACCUGGCGCGUGGAUGGGGUGAAUAGUGGGGACGACUUUAGUCCCCACGACGUGACCCGUGCGCUGGACUUUGCAGUGGACCGGCGAUGGCAUCCAGUGCUCUUCGCUUGCCCUCUCGGCGAGCUACAAACGAACGUGCUGAUCGGGUGCAUGCGGCGCUACCAACACUGGGCCCUCUCGGCCAUCUUCAGCGAGUGCGAGCUCUACACGAGCGUGUGUCGCACUCUGCGGCAGUCAAUACUGCUCUUCAUUGAGUCCUGGGACCCCGCCAAUCACCCCCUUAGCGCGGUGAACAUUCAGUACCGUAAUCGCAAAAUGGCGCAGCGGGAGCGCUUGCGUGCGCACCAGGAGCGCCGAAAGCAUCGGCACGCUGCCGCGUUCGACGACGACCGCGACAGAACGAGCGGGUCCAACUCCUUCGAGGACUCCGCGGGGGAGAUGGAGCCGGAGGUACAGCUGAGCGUCAUGAGCGACCUACUUGACAAAAACUCCGCAGAUGGCCAGCACAGCAGCACCGUUUCGUCCACUGUGUGGACCUUUAGUGAGAUGAGUGUAAGGUCGACGUCACCGCCGAUGAAAGUGAAGGCGCCGAACCCAGACGCGGCUUUCAUCUCGACAAGCGGACAACGCCCGCCAAUGAUGAUGCGUCGGGCGGCUGCCGCUGCCGCGGCGGCGCGACUCCGCGAGCAGCAGGACCAGCAUCCUCACAAAAAAGCGUCAGCGAGUGAAGCGGACGAGCAGGCGGGCUUUGUGCAGAUGGAGGAGGGCAAGGUGGCCGGCGUGAUCUGGGCAGAGUGGUACCUGGAAGCCCUUCGUACCGCUGAGGAACUAAAGGCGCGCACAUACAGCUCGCCGUGCAUGCCCUACAGCGGCGCCGAUGUGUGCUUCGGAGCCGAGCUUCCCCCACCGCAUGUGCUCUACGCCGGCGCGCGCAAUCCGCCCGCGCUCGAUGCCCGCUCCACCUUCACCAAGGAGUCCAUCGUCGAGGAAGAUGAUGACUAGGGCGCGUCGGGUGUGUGUGAGGGGAGGAGAGGGGAGGGGGGGCAGUCGUCUCUCUCUGUCUCUCCCGAUCCUCCUUGUAUGUGUGCUGCCGUGUGUGCGGCGUCGCCAAUCUGAGUGCACUGCGGGAGAUACGAGAAAACUUGGUGGUGAGAGGGGGGCGCCACCGGAGCUCUUUUCUAUCGUCGUCCUCUCGUUGCAGGCGCUCACGGAGGGCGACCCACGGGAUCCGCUUGUUGUUCUGCUCCGUCUCCCGCGCGUGUGCCGUGUGUCGGCUUUUCCAACAAGAUUGGGCAGUUCUGCGUUCACCUUCUUUUCAACUCUACGGCUGCCCUGAGGCAUACCGGGUGCGGGCGUCCGAGCUGUCACCAUGAAAACAAAAAAAAAAAACAGCAACGAAAAAGAAAAACAUACAGCGCAGACAGGAAGGACGUGUGACAGGGUAUCUGGUGAACAUCUUCCUCGCCAACCGCAAGUAGAGCCCCCCUCCCUCACACUCACCUCCUGAUCUUUCUUUAGUGUACACCACGCUGAUGUGAAGCGUGCUGUGCAUCGUGCCGCGUGCAUCCUUUUUUUUUUUUCGUUAUUCUUCAGUGGUAUCAGCUCAG
RNAcentral lists this unclassified non-coding RNA (1992 nucleotides) under Leishmania donovani. RNAcentral's name for it is "gene:LdHU3.32.1420(CDS-product:Tyrosine_phosphata se_family_putative)". The record is from RNAcentral. Lineage: Eukaryota; Euglenozoa; Kinetoplastea; Trypanosomatida; Trypanosomatidae.